CCUACGGGCUGCAGCAGUGAGGAAUAUUGGUCAAUGGACGAUAGUCUGAACCAGCCAAGUAGCGUGAAGGAUGACUGCCCUAUGGGUUGUAAACUUCUUUUAUAUGGGAAUAAAAUGCACUAUGUAUGGUACUUUGCAUGUACCUUAUGAAUAAGGAUCGGCUAACUCCGUGCCAGCAGCCGCGGUAAUACGGAGGAUCCGAGCGUUAUCCGGAUUUAUUGGGUUUAAAGGGAGCGUAGGUGGGUUGUUAAGUCAGUUGUGAAAGUUUGCGGAUCAACCGUAAAAUUGCAGUUGAAACUGGCAGUCUUGAGUACAGUAGAGGUAGGCGGAAUUCGUGGUGUAGCGGUGAAAUGCUUAGAUAUCACGAAGAACUCCGAUUGCGAAGGCAGCUCGCUGGACUGCAACUGACGCUGAGGCUCGAAAGUGUGGGUAUCAAACAGGAUUAGAUACCCCUGUAGUC
RNAcentral lists this ribosomal RNA (460 nucleotides) under uncultured bacterium. RNAcentral's name for it is "partial 16S ribosomal RNA". It matches the Rfam family "Bacterial small subunit ribosomal RNA", at positions 338 to 795 of the family's 1533-position model. The record is from RNAcentral.